This 404-nucleotide ribosomal RNA is filed under the name uncultured Acetobacteraceae bacterium. RNAcentral describes it as "bacterial SSU rRNA". It matches the Rfam family "Bacterial small subunit ribosomal RNA", at positions 355 to 776 of the family's 1533-position model. Lineage: Bacteria; Pseudomonadati; Pseudomonadota; Alphaproteobacteria; Acetobacterales; Acetobacteraceae. The record is from RNAcentral.
UGGGGAAUAUUGGACAAUGGGCGCAAGCCUGAUCCAGCAAUGCCGCGUGAGUGAAGAAGGUCUUCGGAUUGUAAAGCUCUUUUGGCGGGGACGAUGAUGACGGUACCCGCAGAAUAAGCCCCGGCUAACUUCGUGCCAGCAGCCGCGGUAAUACGAAGGGGGCUAGCGUUGCUCGGAAUGACUGGGCGUAAAGGGCGCGUAGGCGGAUUGUACAGUCAGACGUGAAAUUCCUGGGCUCAACCUGGGGGCUGCGUUUGAUACGUAUAGUCUUGAGUGAGGAAGAGGGUUGUGGAAUUCCCAGUGUAGAGGUGAAAUUCGUAGAUAUUGGGAAGAACACCGGUGGCGAAGGCGGCAACCUGGUCCUUUACUGACGCUGAGGCGCGAAAGCGUGGGGAGCAAACAGG